RNAcentral lists this small nuclear RNA (19 nucleotides) under Arabidopsis thaliana (thale cress). Its description in RNAcentral is "snRNA_13536". The record is from RNAcentral. Lineage: Eukaryota; Viridiplantae; Streptophyta; Magnoliopsida; Brassicales; Brassicaceae.
AAAUCCGCUAAGGAGUGUG